UACAGAGGGUGCCAGCGUUGUUCGGAAUUAUUGGGCGUAAAGGGCGCGUAGGCGGCUCUGUGUGUCGGGUGUGAAAUCCCACCUCUUAAAGGUGGAAUUGCAUUCGAAACUACAGAGCUGGAGUUCCGGAGAGGAUGGUGGAAUUCCUGGUGUAGAGGUGAAAUUCGUAGAUAUCAGGAGGAACACCGGUGGCGAAGGCGGCCAUCUGGACGGAUACUGACGCUGAGGCGCGAAAGCGUGGGGAUCAAACAGG
RNAcentral lists this ribosomal RNA (253 nucleotides) under uncultured bacterium. RNAcentral's name for it is "partial 16S ribosomal RNA". It matches the Rfam family "Bacterial small subunit ribosomal RNA", at positions 524 to 776 of the family's 1533-position model. The record is from RNAcentral.